GUCUCCGUAGCUCAGCUGGAUAGAGCAGCGGUCUUCUAAACCGCAGGUCGUAGGUUCGAAUCCUAUCGGAGACGCCA
This 77-nucleotide transfer RNA is filed under the name Bartonella sp. HY761. RNAcentral describes it as "tRNA-Arg". It matches the Rfam family "tRNA". From Rfam's summary of the family: Transfer RNA (tRNA) molecules are approximately 80 nucleotides in length. Their secondary structure includes four short double-helical elements and three loops (D, anti-codon, and T loops). Further hydrogen bonds mediate the characteristic L-shaped molecular structure. tRNAs have two regions of fundamental functional importance: the anti-codon, which is responsible for specific mRNA codon recognition, and the 3' end, to which the tRNAs corresponding amino acid is attached (by aminoacyl-tRNA synthetases). tRNAs cope with the degeneracy of the genetic code in two manners: having more than one tRNA (with a specific anti-codon) for a particular amino acid; and 'wobble' base-pairing, i.e. permitting non-standard base-pairing at the 3rd anti-codon position. The record is from RNAcentral. Lineage: Bacteria; Pseudomonadati; Pseudomonadota; Alphaproteobacteria; Hyphomicrobiales; Bartonellaceae. RNAcentral also lists the same sequence under 1 other name.